GCGACUCUCGCACCUCUCGCACAUAGCGUCCAUUAUUUGUUCUCUCCUCCCCAGCUAGGGUUCACGACGCCGCCGCCGUCCGCGCUCGUGCUCUCUCUCUUCAUCUCCCAUCCCGAGCUGGACCUCCUCCAACCACAUCUCCCCUGAUCUUCUCGAUCGAUUUGGAUCUCAGGAGCGAACCGGAGGAAGGCCAGGUGCCCGUUGCCGAGACAGGGGCGAUGAGAAGUGGGUCGCCGCCGCCGCCGCCAUCCCGGCUCAAAGCGGCGACCCAAGGAGGAGCUCCGGACUCACAGGAGGAGCUCAAGCAGCGGCGGUGGUCCACAACGCCAUCAUGGUCUUCCUCUGCAGGAGCAGCGCGAGCCAUAGAGACGUCCUGCCCCAGCGUCGCCGCCCGUCCACCCGACGAACGAGAGAGGCAUCAAGGGGGAGAUGCACGGCAGAGAUGCACACGCUCUUCCCUGUGGGAUGACGGUGGUGUUCCUUCCUCCAACAAAAUUCCAGCCCCUUGAUACAUAGUCAGAUUCAGCCCCACACCAGCGAGUGCUUAUGGCGACGACGAUGACAAAGCAAGCUGACUGCUAUUUCCGGAGUAUUACUGGAUGAUGCUUUGUACAGCAGCAACACACACGUACACAACAGCCUCUGCUGAUCGAUUCUGUGGCCGGCCAAAAAACGCUGUGCAGGCCAACAAAAUCAAUUGGACUGCCACAGGGAUUGGGUCGAGCCGGCGACCAAGCAGGGAGAUUCCAAUCAUCUGAAUUUUUGAUGGAGUCCAUUGGAUGGAUCAAUGGAAGAAGAGGUAGAAAAGCGCCUAGUAAUUGAUACUGGUAGUUCCUUGGUGAACUUGCCAUCAAUGGCUUUCUUCUUCGAUAAAUGUAAGCCAUUGGAGGAAGGAGACGAAGAGGCUGGGAGUUAAUUUCCAGCGAAUUAAUCUGGGGAUUUGAUUUGCUGGUGGGCACUGAGGAACAGUUAAUUUCCAGCGAAUUAUUCUGGAGAAUUCGAUGCGUCUGGUAAUCUGCUUCGAGAGUUCUCCUUUGGGCUAUGAAAAAGAGACUAGUAGUUUGGUUGUGGGCCUCGGUGGGUAGUGGUUACACAGUUAGCUGCCAGUAGUACUAUUUCUUUCUCUUUAAAUCUCACGGUUCAUUUAUUUGUAUUCCCCCCGCUCAACUUUUUUAUCUAGUCCUCUCAUUAAUACAUGCUUAGACAAAUUAGAGGCCCCAAAAAUUUUGGGGCCCUGUGCAGCUGCUCCGGUUGCACAUGCAGAGAUACGGCCCUGCUUGGCAUCAAGACAAUUUAAGUAUAUUCAAUAAUGCAGGGGAUGUUAAAUCUACUGUUAUUUGUGAAUAGUACUCUUUUUUUUGCUAUGGUUCCAUUUGUGGUUUCUCAUGUAGCAAUGUCAUGGUUCGUUAAAUCUUUCACACACAAUGAAAUGUUUAGGAAACUCGAUCCAGUAAAGUGGAGUGUUAAUUUAUCUAAAUACGUUUAGUAAGUUCAUCAUGUAGCAAAUUUUGCCAUAAAAUUUGUCAUGAAAGUAUACUUUAUCGGCACUAUUUUCCUAUAUAUAUUAUUUCUGUGCUAGACAUUUUUCAGCUAACUAGAAAAAAAAUACAUCACCUGAAAAGACUACGUACGUAACUCAAUAGUUAAUCCAGUGCCACAUGUAGAAGUAGACUGGUUACAGAAUCUUUCCAACAAUCUGGCAAGUACUGCAUAUAUCUAACUUGUUACAGAAUGCAAAUGACGGAAGAACUCUGACAAGUGCACCUUGAUCCUUACUGAAGGAGAUUCAACAAAGGCUUUGGCUAUGGCGGAUGGGAUCACUAUGGUGUGUUUCCUCUCAGGGGUAAAUUUAAAUUAAAUGUGAGAGAAGCAAGCCAUAAGCAGUUAAUGGGGAAUGCAGAGAUCCAAAAUAUGAAGAAAAUAUUAGGUCUGCAACAUGAAAAGAAGUAUGAUAGCACGAAAGGCUUGAGAUAUGACCACCUUAUGAUAAUGACAGAUUAGGUUUGCCCGACAACUUUUUCAGGACAAUGCAUGAGAUAGCAUUUGCAUCUACUAAUAAGCCAAAGCUACUUAGCCAGAUUAGUGGUGUGUGGAUUAAGAUUUCAGCCAUGGGUGACUUUGCCUUCAUAGCUGGGGCAUAUGCUUUCGAAAUCUUUGUCCAUCGUUGAUUUAGCUGUGUAAUCCCUUUGCUGGACAGGAAAGCAUGAUCGCUUGGACAUCAUAAGCAAUUUGUGAUGCCGAGGAUCUUGUAGAGGAUUUAGGAAAGUGAAUUCCAACAUUAUUGAAGCAAAAUUGGUGAAGUUGAAUGAGGAUUGGAGAUGGCGUGUAACCUACUUACACAUAGAUGGAGACUCGGGAUGGCUGAUCUACACAGGCGUGGGCACCAUGUUUAUUACUCUUUGUUACCCAACAUAAUUUCCGUUUAUAAAUUUAGCUAGCGGCCGUGCACAUCUUGAGGUGUCCGUCAACUCCAAACACAAGCCCCAUUCCCCUGUAUGACUAAAUUCAGGUAUUCGUGAGGUGAAUAAGAUAUAUAAUGUUAAAACCUGUAGUUUUGUUAUCAAUGGUUUUGCAUUGUGUCUUGCUGCAAAUGAAUUAAUUGUUUUUUGCAUGUCUAAUUUUUACGAUGUGUUGAGGCCUUCAUAAUGUUAAUUUUGAAUUUAAGAACUGUGCUCUUAAGAUAUGUCCUUUAACCAUUUGUUUUCUUCUUUUGCCGAUUUCAAGAAAUAGUUCCUUUAAAUGUUGGAAAUGUUCUUGGUACUAAAGACAAUGUUGCAGCAAAGAAGUGGGUAUCACUUAUUGAUGACCAGGUGAUGAAUAUAUUGGUAGGGAUACAUGUAAUGGACCAUAUUUUUCACCAUUCCCAUAUGGCUAUGGACUUGAACACCUAUGGAAGAAGAAGAUGUGUAGCCAAAUACUUCUAGGUAUUAUCUGUUGGCAUGUUCCAUGAAAAUUCACAUAUGCAAAUGUUUCUGCUCAGUAGUCCUAGGCGCAUGUUUGAUCUUUGCUGGUCAACUUUUGUUAAUAUAGACUCUGAUUGUUCUGUAAAGAUAUGCCUUCCAUACCUCAUAACUACUUCACUCUCUUCUAGGAGUACUAUAUAUAUGCAUGUGAUAUUCACUAUACCUUUUCUCAUUGCCCAUUACUUCACGUGCAAUAUAACAUAUGUAAGUCAUCUAUCUACUGAUUCUGUUAUAUAAAGCUUUCCUUCUUGCUCUACUUAUUAUAGUAUGUACUUCCUGUCAUGAUUGCAGUAUGUAGCAGCCAAGGUGAUAUGCACGAGCCAAGGUGAUACUGAGGAACUUCUUAGUUCAUACCGAUUACAUGAGUAUAGAGGACAAGUUUGUUAAAUGUUCAUGUUUUGUUAUUGCCAGUGAGUUGAUAUGCAUGUGUUCUGAUGAUCCAACAAACACUGCCUCUUUUGGUGAUCACCCACCUUUUGGAGCAUGUUGAACUUUGAUUUCAAUCCAUGUCCGUGUCUUUAUGAUCAGUCAUUGACAUUGUGAGACUGUCACCUCUGUGUUAAUAUAGAGCUAUUAUUAGCUUACUCUGCUUUA
Triticum aestivum (bread wheat) is the source of this 3557-nucleotide long non-coding RNA. RefSeq lists it as uncharacterized. The record is from RefSeq and is a predicted model, not a curated record. NCBI's taxonomy places the organism in Eukaryota, Viridiplantae, Streptophyta, Magnoliopsida, Poales, Poaceae. The transcript has 8 exons.